RNAcentral lists this ribosomal RNA (490 nucleotides) under Nesochthamalus intertextus. RNAcentral's name for it is "partial 16S ribosomal RNA". It matches the Rfam family "Archaeal large subunit ribosomal RNA", at positions 1926 to 2655 of the family's 2987-position model. Lineage: Eukaryota; Metazoa; Arthropoda; Thecostraca; Balanomorpha; Chthamalidae. The record is from RNAcentral.
UUCCUNUAAGAUUUGGAGGUAAAGCCUGCUCACUGAAUUUUAAAGAGCCGCAGUAUUUUGACUGUGCUAAGGUAGCAUAAUCAUUAGUCUUUUAAUUGAGGACUGGUAUGAAUGGCUAAACGAGAGAUCGACUUUUUUUAUUGCAAUUUUUCUAAUUUUAUUUUUUAGUGAAAAAGCUAAAAUCCUCCAGAAAGACGAGAAGACCCUAUAGAGUUUUAUACGGUGAAAAAUUAAAUUGUAGUAGAUUUUAUAUAAUUUGUUUUGUAUCUGUAAUUUGUUGGGGCGACGUUAAGAUACACAAAACUCUUUUUUUUUAAGACUUAAAUUUAAGUUAGAUAGUGACCCUCUAUAAGGGAUCAUAAGAAAAAAUUACCUUAGGGAUAACAGCGUAAUCUUUUUUGAGAGUUCUAAUCGACAAAAAGGUUUGCGACCUCGAUGUUGGACUAAAAUUUAGACGUGGUGCAGUAGCUUCGUUUAGAGUCGUCGACCC